GCACACGUGAUCUAGCGGUUAUGAUGCAUGGUUCCCAACCAUGCCACCCGAGUUCAAAUCUCGGCGUGUGCA
This 72-nucleotide transfer RNA is filed under the name Methanobacteriota archaeon. RNAcentral describes it as "Euryarchaeota archaeon tRNA-Gly". It matches the Rfam family "tRNA". From Rfam's summary of the family: Transfer RNA (tRNA) molecules are approximately 80 nucleotides in length. Their secondary structure includes four short double-helical elements and three loops (D, anti-codon, and T loops). The record is from RNAcentral. Lineage: Archaea; Methanobacteriati; Methanobacteriota.